CCUACGGGGGGCAGCAGUGGGGAAUAUUGCACAAUGGGCGAAAGCCUGAUGCAGCAACGCCGCGUGAAGGAAGAAGGGUUUCGGCUCGUAAACUUCUAUCAACAGGGACGAAAGAAAUGACGGUACCUGAAUAAGAAGCCCCGGCUAACUACGUGCCAGCAGCCGCGGUAAUACGUAGGGGGCAAGCGUUAUCCGGAUUUACUGGGUGUAAAGGGAGCGUAGACGGCUUGGCAAGCCAGAUGUGAAAGGCUGGGGCUCAACCCCAGGACUGCAUUUGGAACUGUCAUGCUAGAGUGUCGGAGAGG
This 305-nucleotide ribosomal RNA is filed under the name uncultured bacterium. Its description in RNAcentral is "bacterial SSU rRNA". It matches the Rfam family "Bacterial small subunit ribosomal RNA", at positions 338 to 657 of the family's 1533-position model. The record is from RNAcentral.